RNAcentral lists this long non-coding RNA (303 nucleotides) under Homo sapiens (human). RNAcentral's name for it is "non-protein coding lnc-MERTK-3:1". The record is from RNAcentral. Lineage: Eukaryota; Metazoa; Chordata; Mammalia; Primates; Hominidae.
AUGACAAAGAAAAGAAGGAACAACAAUCAUGCCAAAAAGGGGCACAGCCACAUGCAGCCUAUUCGUUGCACAAACUGUGCCCGACGUGUGCCCAAGGACAAGGCCAUUAAGAAAUUUUUCAUCAUUCGAAAUGUGGUGGAGGCCGCAGCAGUCAGGGACAUUUGUGAAGCGAGUGUCUUCAAUGCCUAUGUGCUUCCCAAGCUGUAUGUGAAGCUAAAUUACUGUGUGAGAUGUGCAAUUCACAGAAAAGUCGUCAGGAAUCCACCUUGUAAAGCCCACAAGGACCAAACACACCCACCAAAG